AUCCAGCUGACGAGUCCUAAAUAGGACGAAAUGCGCAUCCUGGAU
Molecule: non-coding RNA, 45 nt
Organism: Schistosoma mattheei
Lineage: Eukaryota; Metazoa; Platyhelminthes; Trematoda; Strigeidida; Schistosomatidae
Source: Rfam